RNAcentral lists this non-coding RNA (724 nucleotides) under Ixodes myrmecobii. The record is from RNAcentral. Lineage: Eukaryota; Metazoa; Arthropoda; Arachnida; Ixodida; Ixodidae.
AAAUUUAAGCGUGGUUUUUUUAAAAAAAGUUUUUAAUAGUCUUUAUAUAUUUAAUUAUAUAAAAUAUUAUAUAAUAGAAGAAAUUUUUUUUAUAUUUUAAAGAAUGUAAAAAAAGUUAUUAAUUUUAAAUUUGGCAAUGCUUGUGCCAGCCGCCGCGGUUAUACAGGUAAAUUAAUUUUUUUUUCUAUAAUCAAAGAAAAAAAAUUAAAGUAAGAUAAUAAUUUUUAUAGGUGAAAUUUAAAAAAAUUUUAAUAUUAUAUUUUUAUUAUUGUUUCUUAAAAAUUUAUUAAUAAACUAGGAUUAGAUACCCUAUUAUUAUAAGCUUAAUUUUGUUAGUAUAUAUAAUUUAUGAAAACAAAAAGUUUUGGCGGUAUUUUAAGCUUUUUAGAGGAAUUUGCUCUAUAAUGGAUAAAACCCCUUAAUCUUACUUAAUCUGGUUAAAUUCAGUUUGUAUACCACUAUAUUUAAUUAUAUUGAAUAAUUAAUUAUUGCAAUUUUUUUUAAAAAGAAAAUUAAGUCAAGGUGCAACUUAAGAUUAUGAAUGAAGUGAAUUACAUUAAUUUUUAUGAAAAAAAAAUAAAUUGAAAUAUAAAAAAAUAGGAUUUAAAAGUAAAUAAAAAAUAUAAUGUUUUGUUGAAUUAAGCUCUAAAAUAUGCACAUAUCGCCCGUCGCUCUCUUUUAGGAGAUAAGUCGUAACAAAGUAAAAAUACUGGAAAGUGUUUUU